GACGAACGCUGGCGGCGUGCUUAACACAUGCAAGUCGAACGGAAAGGCCCUGCUUUUGUGGGGUGCUCGAGUGGCGAACGGGUGAGUAACACGUGAGUAACCUGCCCUUGACUUUGGGAUAACUUCAGGAAACUGGGGCUAAUACCGGAUAGGAGCUCCUGCUGCAUGGUGGGGGUUGGAAAGUUUCGGCGGUUGGGGAUGGGCACGCGGCUUAUCAGCUUGUUGGUGGGGUAGUGGCUUACCAAGGCUUUGACGGGUAGCCGGCCUGAGAGGGUGACCGGCCACAUUGGGACUGAGAUACGGCCCAGACUCCUACGGGAGGCAGCAGUGGGGAAUAUUGCACAAUGGGCGGAAGCCUGAUGCAGCAACGCCGCGUGCGGGAUGACGGCCUUCGGGUUGUAAACCGCUUUCGCCUGUGACGAAGCGUGAGUGACGGUAAUGGGUAAAGAAGCACCGGCUAACUACGUG
This 468-nucleotide ribosomal RNA is filed under the name uncultured bacterium. RNAcentral describes it as "partial 16S ribosomal RNA". It matches the Rfam family "Bacterial small subunit ribosomal RNA", at positions 28 to 507 of the family's 1533-position model. The record is from RNAcentral.